CCUACGGGAGACUGCAGUAGGGAAUUUUCGUCAAUGGGCGCAAGCCUGAACGAGCCAUGCCGCGUGAACGAGGAAGGUCUUCUGAUCGUAAAGUUCUGUUGAAGGGGGAAUAAAGCGGAGAGAGGAAAUGCUUUCUGAUUGAUAUUACCCUUCGAGGAAGUCACGGCUAACUACGUGCCAGCAGCCGCGGUAAUACGUAGGUGGCGUGCGUUGUCCGGUAUGGUUGGGUGAAAAGGGUGCGUAGGCGGCCUGCUAAGUCUGGAGUGAAAGGUACCGGCUCAACCGGUACAGGCUCUGGAAACUGGCGGGCUAGAGAGCAGGAGAGGGCGGUGGAAUUCCAGGUGUAGCGGUAAAAUGCGUAGAUAUAUGGAAGAACACCAGUGGCGAAGGCGGCCGCCUGGCCUGUUACUGACGCUGAGGCACGAAAGCGUGGGGAGCAAAUAGGAUUAGAUACCCUGGUAGUC
Molecule: ribosomal RNA, 464 nt
Filed under: uncultured bacterium
Lineage: Bacteria
Description: partial 16S ribosomal RNA
Rfam family: Bacterial small subunit ribosomal RNA
Source: RNAcentral